Long non-coding RNA from Gallus gallus (chicken), 365 nucleotides. RefSeq lists it as uncharacterized. The transcript has 2 exons. Lineage: Eukaryota; Metazoa; Chordata; Aves; Galliformes; Phasianidae. The record is from RefSeq and is a predicted model, not a curated record.
UUUUGAAGGGGGUGGGACUUCAUCUGGCUCUCUUCUGCUGCUCAAGGGGCAAGCUGGGCAUCAGUCGGGGGUGUUGCAGACAAACCUGAAUGGCAUGAUGUGGAAGCUGUGCUGGCUGCAGCAUGAGCUCACAAACAAUCCUCUGGGCAUUUAGAGACUGUUAAGUAUUUGGAGAAGGCAGAGAAGAUGACAGCAGCAGCAAGUAAAUGGUUUGCAAGAGCACCUAUUCUGAGACAUUUUUAUCAAAUCAUAAUUCAAGAGAACCUCUAAACUUCCUCCUGAGAUAAACCAAUCUGAAAUGUGCAACAAGAAAUUGAAUAAACCUGAUUCAGAAGUCUAAACAAAUAAAACUUGCUAGAAUGAUA